Molecule: long non-coding RNA, 426 nt
Organism: Fundulus heteroclitus (mummichog)
Lineage: Eukaryota; Metazoa; Chordata; Actinopteri; Cyprinodontiformes; Fundulidae
Exons: 3
Source: RefSeq, a predicted model, not a curated record
CACAGGUGGCCUCUGGGAGCAGGGUGACUGAGGCCUGACAGGUGCAGCUUGUUACCUCAUCAGGCAGGAGGCUUAGAAGGAGCUUGAUGCCAGCACUUCAACGCUAGAGUGUUAACCUUUAUGUGGUAGCCUUUGUGUUCUGGAUUCCGUCUCCAGAAGCUCCCCGGUUCUCUCUCAACUAGACUCAAAUCAACAAAGGACACUCCCUGCUGUGUUUCCUGCCGGCUGCCUCCUGAGUUCCACGCCCUAGUCGAACCCUGCUCACCCUCCAACUGUUCCACCUCUGGAGAACGGGCACCUCAUUGUUCACCACUGUCACUCCUCAGACUCCACUCAUUCCUCCCUGGCGAUUCCACUCAUCUCCAUCACUGAAGAACCAGACCCAGCCCAGAACCUCCAACCUCCAGUUAUUGCUUUUUGAAAAUA